UAGACCGCCUGGGGAGUACGGCCGCAAGGUUAAAACUCAAAUGAAUUGACGGGGGCCCGCACAAGCGGUGGAGCAUGUGGUUUAAUUCGAUGCAACGCGAAGAACCUUACCUGGUCUUGACAUCCACAGAACUUUCCAGAGAUGGAUUGGUGCCUUCGGGAACCGUGAGACAGGUGCUGCAUGGCUGUCGUCAGCUCGUGUUGUGAAAUGUUGGGUUAAGUCCCGCAACGAGCGCAACCCUUAUCCUUUGUUGCCAGCGAUUAGGUCGGGAACUCAAAGGAGACUGCCAGUGAUAAACUGGAGGAAGGUGGGGAUGACGUCAAGUCAUCAUGGCCCUUACGACCAGGGCUACACACGUGCUACAAUGGCGCAUACAAAGAGAAGCGACCUCGC
RNAcentral lists this ribosomal RNA (393 nucleotides) under Salmonella enterica subsp. enterica serovar Kentucky. RNAcentral describes it as "bacterial SSU rRNA". It matches the Rfam family "Bacterial small subunit ribosomal RNA", at positions 865 to 1258 of the family's 1533-position model. Lineage: Bacteria; Pseudomonadati; Pseudomonadota; Gammaproteobacteria; Enterobacterales; Enterobacteriaceae. The record is from RNAcentral.